GAUGAACGCUGGCGGCGUGCCUAAUACAUGCAAGUCGAGCGAACGGACGAGAAGCUUGCUUCUCUGAUGUUAGCGGCGGACGGGUGAGUAACACGUGGAUAACCUACCUAUAAGACUGGGAUAACUUCGGGAAACCGGAGCUAAUACCGGAUAAUAUUUUGAACCGCAUGGUUCAAAAGUGAAAGACGGUCUUGCUGUCACUUAUAGAUGGAUCCGCGCUGCAUUAGCUAGUUGGUAAGGUAACGGCUUACCAAGGCACCGAUGCAUAGCCGACCUGAGAGGGUGAUCGGCCACACUGGAACUGAGACACGGUCCAGACUCCUACGGGAGGCAGCAGUAGGGAAUCUUCCGCAAAGGGCGAAAGCCUGACGGAGCAACGCCGCGUGAGUGAUGAAGGUCUUCGGAUCGUAAAACUCUGUUAUUAGGGAAGAACAUAUGUGUAAGUAACUGUGCACAUCUUGACGGUACCUAAUCAGAAAGCCACGGCUAACUACGUG
RNAcentral lists this ribosomal RNA (497 nucleotides) under uncultured bacterium. Its description in RNAcentral is "partial 16S ribosomal RNA". It matches the Rfam family "Bacterial small subunit ribosomal RNA", at positions 28 to 507 of the family's 1533-position model. The record is from RNAcentral.